This 254-nucleotide long non-coding RNA is filed under the name Callithrix jacchus (white-tufted-ear marmoset). RNAcentral's name for it is "lncRNA (ENSCJAG00000054964.2)". The record is from RNAcentral. Lineage: Eukaryota; Metazoa; Chordata; Mammalia; Primates; Cebidae.
AUUGCCCAACCUUGAGAAGCAACCAAUACGUCCUCUAGUAGGUUUUGUCUCCUUGAAAGCCCAUCUGUAUGAAAAAGCCUGACAAUCAUACAGAAAAAGAACUCUGCUUCAUGGAGAGAGGAAAACCACAUGGAGAUUUGUCAACAGUCACCUCCAUGAAUCCUCUCAAAGUUUCCAGAGAGCCCAGCUACCAACUGAAUGCAACAGACAAAAAAGUCUUCUGUUGUAUUCACCUCUGGACAAUGAUGGAUUAA